RNAcentral lists this small nucleolar RNA (84 nucleotides) under Zostera marina. RNAcentral's name for it is "Small nucleolar RNA snoR60". It matches the Rfam family "Small nucleolar RNA snoR60". From Rfam's summary of the family: snoR60 is a member of the C/D class of snoRNA which contain the C (UGAUGA) and D (CUGA) box motifs. Most of the members of the box C/D family function in directing site-specific 2'-O-methylation of substrate RNAs. Lineage: Eukaryota; Viridiplantae; Streptophyta; Magnoliopsida; Alismatales; Zosteraceae. The record is from Rfam by way of RNAcentral.
AUCCAUGUGAUGAUUUCUUGGAUUCCCCUUCAAGACAAAUGAUCUAUUCAUUUAAAUGAUGCACAACUCCAAGAUUCUGAUGCA